CCUACGGGAGGCAGCAGUGAGGAAUAUUGGUCAAUGGGCGCGAGCCUGAACCAGCCAAGCCGCGUGAGGGAAGACGGUCCUAAGGAUUGUAAACCUCUUUUGUCGGGGAGCAAAAGCCGCCACGCGUCGCGUUCCGAGAGUACCCGAAGAAAAAGCAUCGGCUAACUCCGUGCCAGCAGCCGCGGUAAUACGGAGGAUGCGAGCGUUAUCCGGAUUUAUUGGGUUUAAAGGGUGCGCAGGCGGAAGAUCAAGUCAGCGGUAAAAUUGAGAGGCUCAACCUCGUCGGGCCGUUGAAACUGGGUGUCUUGAGUGGGCGAGAGGUAUGCGGAAUGCGGGGUGUAGCGGUGAAAUGCAUAGAUAUCACGCAGAACUCCGAUUGCGAAGGCAGCAUACCGGCGCUCAACUGACGCUGAGGCACGAAAGUGUGGGUAUCGAACAGGAUUAGAUACCCGGGUAGUC
This 459-nucleotide ribosomal RNA is filed under the name uncultured bacterium. RNAcentral's name for it is "partial 16S ribosomal RNA". It matches the Rfam family "Bacterial small subunit ribosomal RNA", at positions 338 to 795 of the family's 1533-position model. The record is from RNAcentral.